AGAGUUUGAUCAUGGCUCAGGAUGAACGCUGGCGGCGUGCUUAAUACAUGCAAGUCGAGCGGUAAGGCUCUCACAGUUUGCUGGUAUCCCUAAUAAAGGAUCGAGCAAAGUGUGAGAGUACACGAGCGGCGGACGGCUGAGUAACACGUAGGAACGUACCCCAAAGUGAGGAAUAAUUCGCCGAAAGGCGGACUAAUGCCGCAUAUGCUCUUAGGAGUAAAGCCUUAGGGCGCUUUGGGAACGGCCUGCGCAUGAUUAGCUAGUUGGUAGGGUAAUGGCUUACCAAGGCGACGAUCAUUAGCUGGUCUGAGAGGAUGACCAGCCAGACUGGGACUGAGACACGGCCCAGACUCCUACGGGAGGCAGCAGUAGGGAAUUUUCCACAAUGGGCGAAAGCCUGAUGGAGCAACGCCGCGUGCAGGAUGAAGGCCCUCGGGUCGUAAACUGCUUUUGUCUGUGAAGAUUAUGACGGUAACAGACGAAUAAGGAUCGGCUAACUCCGUGCCAGCAGCCGCGGUCAUACGGAGGAUCCAAGCGUUAUCCGGAAUUACUGGGCGUAAAGAGUUGCGUAGGCGGUUAAGUAAGUAAACAGUGAAAUCGUGUGGCUCAACCAUACACACAUUGUUUAAACUGCUUUGACUAGAUCAUGAGAGAGGUACCUGGAAUUGCUAGUGUAGGAGUGAAAUCCGUAGAUAUUAGC
RNAcentral lists this ribosomal RNA (700 nucleotides) under uncultured bacterium. Its description in RNAcentral is "bacterial SSU rRNA". It matches the Rfam family "Bacterial small subunit ribosomal RNA", at positions 8 to 701 of the family's 1533-position model. The record is from RNAcentral.